AAGCUUUAGCUACUUUUCUCUCUGUAAGAACAUGCUACUAAGGAUUGUCUUUUCAUUGUGAACAUUUGACUAGUUGUAGCCACUGCAAUCUUCCGUUAUUGCACAAGCCACCCACAGACAAUGAAUACCAGAAGUACCACAGCCAUUUCAUGUACAGGGAGAUGAAAACACCAAAUGGAGCAAAGAGAAGAAUCAAACUCUUUUUUUUACACUUUCCAUUUCCAUUUUACCAAUGUUUCAUGAUCUCUUGUGACCCAUAAACUGACUUUCUAUAAAAUAAUGUUUUCCUAUGAAUGAUCUCAGUGCAAGUUUCCUUUUGUUACUCUUUGAAAGUGAUUUUUCAUUUCAUAUUGUAACAGAAAUGUUAAAUCAGGGCUUGAAGCAGUGAUUGAGCACCUGGUGGGAAGGCAGGGCCAACCCAGGGUAGCUCAGGUGCAUUUAAUGCAGCUGAAUGACAGGAAGGGAUGGAAUCAGGAUCCACCCCUCCCAGACCUCAUUUAAGGGUUGGCAGUGGAGGUGGAGGCUUCUUGGUGGAGAUUCAUGUCUGCUGAAAGCCUUGUGAAGGGAAGAAUCUGUGUAUGGAGAAGAGAGAUCCAAUAUUAUAAACUUACCAAGAAAUGGAAGCUGUGAGUUUCAAGCAUUAGCUACUUCUGGAGUGAUAGGGGAGUCAAAAGAGUACAGAACCCAUCUUUGGGUAAAGUCUACCAAAUAAGUGUCAAAUGGAUGACAAAAAUGGCACUUUGCUGUUAAUGCCAGCUAUUCUGCUAAUGACACCUACUCCAAACCAGAUGCAAAUGGGAAGAAGCACAUGUACCUGGCUCGAGUCCUUGUUGGACAGUAUUCCCAGGGGACACAAGGAGCAAUUACUCCAGCAGCAAAGAGUGUUGGCAACAGUGUGGAUCUGUUUGACAGUUCAACUGAUAAUGUGAACAAUCCAUCCAUGUUUAUCAUAUUUAGUGAUAUUCAAGCUUACCCGGAGUACCUCAUCA
Molecule: non-coding RNA, 989 nt
Organism: Meleagris gallopavo (turkey)
Lineage: Eukaryota; Metazoa; Chordata; Aves; Galliformes; Phasianidae
Source: RefSeq, a predicted model, not a curated record